RNAcentral lists this ribosomal RNA (680 nucleotides) under uncultured Bacteroidales bacterium. Its description in RNAcentral is "bacterial SSU rRNA". It matches the Rfam family "Bacterial small subunit ribosomal RNA", at positions 68 to 742 of the family's 1533-position model. Lineage: Bacteria; Pseudomonadati; Bacteroidota; Bacteroidia; Bacteroidales. The record is from RNAcentral.
GGUCUUAGCUUGCUAAGGCUGAUGGCGACCGGCGCACGGGUGAGUAACACGUAUCCAACCUGCCGUCUACUCUUGGCCAGCCUUCUGAAAGGAAGAUUAAUCCAGGAUGGCAUCAUGAGUUCACAUGUCCGCAUGAUUAAAGGUAUUUUCCGGUAGACGAUGGGGAUGCGUUCCAUUAGAUAGUAGGCGGGGUAACGGCCCACCUAGUCAACGAUGGAUAGGGGUUCUGAGAGGAAGGUCCCCCACAUUGGAACUGAGACACGGUCCAAACUCCUACGGGAGGCAGCAGUGAGGAAUAUUGGUCAAUGGGCGAUGGCCUGAACCAGCCAAGUAGCGUGAAGGAUGACUGCCCUAUGGGUUGUAAACUUCUUUUAUAAAGGAAUAAAGUCGGGUAUGCAUACCCGUUUGCAUGUACUUUAUGAAUAAGGAUCGGCUAACUCCGUGCCAGCAGCCGCGGUACAUACGGAGGAUCCGAGCGUUAUCCGGAUUUAUUGGGUUUAAAGGGAGCGUAGAUGGAUGUUUAAGUCAGUUGUGAAAGUUUGCGGCUCAACCGUAAAAUUGCAGUUGAUACUGGAUGUCUUGAGUGCAGUUGAGGCAGGCGGAAUUCGUGGUGUAGCGGUGAAAUGCUUAGAUAUCACGAAGAACUCCGAUUGCGAAGGCAGCCUGCUAAGCUGCAACUG